ACCCCCUGCUGCUGACGCGGAACAUCUGCCGAGCCGGCGCCGGAGCGGUAGGGCACGCUGAGGGGAUGCUCCACCGUGGCAUGCGAACGCGGACUGUGUCAGGCAUGAGAACGCGGGAGCCCUGCGGCUGAGGAAAGCAGACGUGCGGGGAGCCAAGCCCAGACUCUCAAGAGGGUAGAAAUGGCUACUAGAUAAGGAAACAGGAUGAGAUUGACGUGUUUAACGUUACAGAAUAUGGAAGUUGGGCGCCACAACUUGGCUGUACCACAUUUAAACUCAAGUCUAUUAGGGGCUUGAUCCACUUUCUUUUCUCUACACCACAUUGUUUCCGUAUAAGCAACUUAUGUGUCGGGAGAGGACCUGCUCGUGCUUUUAUGUGUAAGCAUGAUAUCAAACCAAGAAAAAAUAAAGGAAACAAAAAAAAAAACCCAAGGAUAAAACUGAUAACUUAGACACACAAUUUGUGCCUUUCAUGUGACAGAAGACACUAUAAAGUCGAACAACUGGUAGUGAAACAGAGAAACAAUUGUAGUAAAUCACAAGCAAGUUAAUAUUUAUAUUCGAUUACCAUCCUUAGCGUAUGUUUUAUUUGCAUAAGAAAAUAUAAAGAGCUCUUACAAAUUAUUAAGAAAAAGAUAACACCCACUCUUUUAAAAAGUGAAGGGCGGACCAGUCGCGGUGACUCACGCCUGUAAUCCCAACACUUCAGAAGGCUGAGGCUGGAGGAUCACCUGAGGUCGGGUGACCAACACAGCGGAAACCCCCUCUCUACUAAAAAUACAAAUAUUAGCUGGGCGUGGUGGCGGGCACCCAUAGUCCCAGUUACUAGGGAGGGUGAGGUAUGAGAAUCGCUUGAACCCAGGAGGGAGAAGUUGCAGUGAGCCAAGAUUGCACCACUGCACUCAAGUCUGGGCGACAGAGUGAGACCCUGUCUCAAAAAAAAAAGUUUAGCCCCGGGCGCGGUGGCUCACGCCUGUAAUCCCAGCACUUUGGGAGGCCGAGGCGGGCGGAUCACCUGAGGUCGCGAGUUCUAGACCAGCCUGAACAACUUGGAGAAACCCCGUCUCUACUAAAAAUAACAAAAUUAGGCUGGGCGCGGUGGCUCACGCCUGUAAUCUCAGUACUUUGGGAGGCUGAGGCGGGCGGAUCACGAGGUUAGGAAAUCGAGACCAUCCUGGCUAACACGGUGAAACCCGUCUCUACUAAAAAUACAAAAAAAAAUUAGCCGGGCGUGGUGGCGGGCGUCUGUAGUCCCAUCUACUCGGGAGGUUGAGGCAGGAGAAUGGCGUGAACCCGGGAGGCGGAGCUUGCAGUGAGCCGAGAUCUCUCCACUGCACUCCAGCCUGGGCGACAGAGCGAGACUCCGUCUCAAAAAACAAAAACAAAGCAAAAAAUAUAUGUAUACAAAAUUAGGCCGGGCGUGGUGGCUCUGGCUCACGCCUCUAAUCCCAGCACUUUGGGAGGCUGAGGCUGGUGGCUCACCUGAGGUGAGGGGUUCAAGGCUAGCUUGACCAACAUGGUGAAACCCCAUCGCUAGUAAAAACACAAAAAUUAGCCAGGCGUGGUGGUGCGCGCCUGUAAUCCCAGCACUUUGGGAGACCCAGGCGGGCGGAUCAUUUGAGGUUAGGAGUUUGAGACCAGCCUGGCCAGCAUGGUGAAACCCCGUCUCUACUAAAAAUACAAAAAAUUAGGCCGGAUGCAGUGGCUCAUUCCUGUAAUCCCAGCACUUUGGCAGGCCUAGGCGGGUUGAUCACUUGAGGUCAGGAGUUCAAGACCAGCCUGCACAACAUUGGCGAAACCCCGUCUCUACUAAAAAUACAAAAUUAGCCAGGCUUGGUGGGGAGCGCCUGUAAUCCCAGCUACUUGGGAGGCUGACGGAGGAGAAUCACUUGAACCCGGAAGGUGGAGGUUGCCGUGAGCUGAGAUCACGCCAUUGCACUCCAACCUGGCAUUGCACUCCAGCCUGGGCGACAGAGAAAAACAAAAUACAAAAAAUUAGCUGGGCAUGGAGGUGGGCGCCUGUAAUCCCAGCUACUUGGGAGGCUGAGGCAGGAGAAUUGCUUGAACCUGGGAAGCGAAGGUUGCAGUGAGCCGAGUGCAGCUGCACUCCAGCCUGGGCAGCAGAGCAAGACUCCGUCUCAAAAAAAUAAAAAAUAAAAAGUCAAGGGCAUGAACAAGCUAGCCGGGUGUGUGUGUGUAUACAUACAUAACAUAUGGGGGGAUUUAAUAAUUAUAUGAAAAAUUAUCGCACCUCACUAGAAAUCAGAAAAACUUAAACAGUAAUAUACCACUUUCAAAUAGCAGAUUGACAAAGAUUUUAAAAGACCAAAAACCUGGAUGAGGAUAAGGAAUUGGCCGGGCGCAGUGGCUCACGCCUGUAAUCCCAACACUUUGGGGAGGCCAAGGUGGGUGGAUCGUUUGAGGUCAGGAGUUCGAGACCAUCCUGCCAGCAUGGUGAAAUUCCGUCUCUACUGAAAAUACAAAAUUAGCCGGGCAUGGUGGCGGGUGCUUGUAAUCCCAGCUACUCCGGAGGUUGAAGCAGGAGAAUCGCUUGAACCCGGGAGAUGGAGAUUGCAGUGAGCCGAGAUUGGGCCACUGCACUCCAGCCUGGGCAAUAGGAGGGAAACCCUGCCUCAAAAAAAAAAAAAGAAAAAGGAUAUAAGGAAUAGGCAUUUAUUUGCAUUAACCAUAUCAAGAAUGAAACUCUUGAUAUGUGCAAGGCUUUCUGGAAGACAGUUUGGCUUUCAUAAAAAUGUCAAAGCCUUUAAGACACCCUUUAAGCAGUUGUCUUACUCCUUGGAAUUUAUUUUAAUAAAAUAAUAGGAGGCCAGGCACUGUGGCUCACGCCUGUAAUCCCAGCACUUUGGGAGGCCGAGGCGGGUGGAUCACAAGGUCAGGAGUUGGAGACCAGCCUGACCAAGAUGGUGAAACCCCAUCUCUACUAAAACUGCAAAAAUUAGGCUGGGCGUGGUGGCUCACGCCUGUAAUACCAGCAUUUUGGGAGGCCGAGCCAGGUGGAUCAGUUUAGGUCAGGAGUUCAAGACCAGCCUGGCCAACAUGGUGAAACCCCGUCUCUACUAAAAAUACAAAAAAUUAGCCAGGCGUGGUGGUGGGCGCCUGUCAUCCCAGCUACUUGGGAGGCUGAGGCAGGAGAAUCGCUUGAACCCUGGAGGUGGAGGUUGCGGUGAGCCGAGAUCAAGCCAUUGCACUCCAGCCUGGGCAACAAGAGUGAGACUCCGUCUCAAAAAAAACAACAAUAAAAUAAAAAUAAAUAAAACUACAAAAAUUAACCAGGUGUGGUGGUGGGCACCUGUAAUCCCAGCUACUUGGGAGGCUGAGGCAGGAGAAUCGCUUGAACCCAGGCAGCAGAGGUUGCAGUGAGCCGAGAUCACACCAUUGCACUCCAACCUGGGCAACAGAGCAAGCCUCCAUCUCAAAGAAAAAUAAAUGAUAAUAAUAAUAGGAAAGGUGUCCAACAGUUUAUGAAGCUGUUCAUUGAUAACUUCUUUAAAACCCCACACAAAAAAAUAGGAUGGUCCGAGUGCAGUGAUGUUUUCAACUAAUUGAUGACAACUGGUUAGAGAUUUCUUUGUUCCUUCUCCACUCCCACUGCUUCACUUGACCAGCCUUAAAAAAAAGAAAAUGAAAGAAGAAAACCACAAAAAAAAGAGAAACAACCUAAAUGUCUAUAAUAAAUUGACAAAGUAAAUUAUAUUACAUCCAUAGAGUGGAAUAUGAAGCCAUUAACAAUGGUAUUUAUUAAAAGAUGGUCACAUGAAAAAAUGCUCACAGCAUACUAUUAAGAAAAAUGGGCUGGGCGCGGUGGCUCACGCCUGUAAUCCCAGCACUUUGGGAGGCCAAGGCAGGCAGAUCACAAGGUCAGGAGUUUAAGACCAGCCUAACCAACAUGGUGAAACCCCAUCUCUACUAAAAAUACAAAAAUUAGCCGGGUGUGGUGGUGUGCACCUGUAAUACCAGCUGCUCAGGAGGCUGUGGCAGGAGAAUAGCUUAAACCCGGGAGACAGAGGUUGCAGUGAGCCAAGAUUGAGCCACUGCAUUCCAGCCUGGGCAACAGAGUGAGACUCAGUCUCAAAAAAAAAAAAAAAAAAGAAAGAAAAAAAGAAAAAUGAGAGGUAGAUUACAAAACUGUAUGUAUAAUAUCCUAUUUUUGUCAAAUAAAAAAGUAUAAUCAAAGGAAAAAUUUUGACAGACUAGAAACAAAAUGUUAACAAUGCUUAUUCCUAGGUGGCAGACUAAUAGAAGAUCUUUAUUAUUCAUACCUGCUAAGAGCAUAUAUUACUUUUGUUUGAGAUGGAGUCUUGCUAUCAGCCAGGCUGGAG
Molecule: long non-coding RNA, 4340 nt
Filed under: Homo sapiens (human)
Lineage: Eukaryota; Metazoa; Chordata; Mammalia; Primates; Hominidae
Description: non-protein coding lnc-MIER3-6:4
Rfam family: Y RNA (bases 3531-3632)
Source: RNAcentral